Mustela erminea (ermine) is the source of this 1527-nucleotide long non-coding RNA. RefSeq lists it as uncharacterized. Lineage: Eukaryota; Metazoa; Chordata; Mammalia; Carnivora; Mustelidae. The record is from RefSeq and is a predicted model, not a curated record. The transcript has 5 exons.
AGUUAUAAAAUAUUAUUUGUAUACUAGAAUACAAAUCAUAUAGAGUAUCUGUGCAAGGAAAAUAUUCCCUCUGUAGACACUUAACAAAUUCCGGAAGCAACGUCCUUAUAGAAGGUUUCCCUGUAUGUAUAUGCAGGGAGACACACAAAAGCUAAUAUUCCACAUUAUUAACCCUACCUAAAUGAUUUACUGGAUGCACAUAUGGACUGUACCUCAUUGCUCUCCACUUGUGAAUAUAUUGCUUUGUACUGCUCUGUGCCGUCCGUCCAUGAAGCAUGUCACUUGACAAACGUUUCCUCUGCAAGUAGCUAGUACGAUUCUUAAGGCCAAGAGUAGUAUAUUCUAUUUUUUUUUUUACUGCAAUGAAACCUCCCUCAGUCUUCACACUAAAGCAUCAAAUCCCUCCAAUUCUGAAUUUCCCUCGAGCUUCACAAUGUUCUUCUGAGCUUUGAUGUAAUGUAAUUUAACUAUAAAUGAUAAGGCUGUCUAAAAUUAAACAUAUUCACAUCAUGUCUGGCAGGAACCUCAAACUCUACAAUCCCAGAAACCCAAAGUAACUUUAAAAAAAAUCAAAUCUAUGCCUCAUUUUUUUUUUCCUCCUUCAGGAGCAGAAAAAUUUUUUUACCAAUAACUUCUCACUCCUAGUCACCAAAUUCUAAAUUCUCCUCUCACAAAUGCCUCUUCUGUCACCCCUUUCUCCUCUCCACUGACCCUGACCAAGUUCAAGCCACAGUCCUCCCUCACCUGACCCCCAGGACCGCCUCCCAGUAGGGUGCUCCGAAUUCAGUGUGUUCUUAGAAGAAUCCGUCCUUUGUAUUCGUGUAACUACGUGUCUGAACACGUGACGGGCGCACACGUCCUCCUUCGGAGCAGUUUAGGCGAACACAGUCCUUACACGUCGCCCCAAACUCUCCGUGUCAGCAGCCUUCGUUCCAGUCCGCGGGCCACUCGCGGAGAGCGGUGUGUGUCCCCGAACACCUGCAGGAGCGCCCUCAGAUCUCCUCCCCCGGCUGUGUGUGCACGUGCAUAGGUGUAUGCUUUUCUGCAUCCACAAGGAGGAACUCAUCCGUAUGCCAAGACUAUGAUUAUACUCUAAAGGAAUCCAGAUUGUGUCUGCUCCACAUACUCAUGUUAGCAGGAGGUCCAGCAUAAAACUUUGAGAACUGUACCACCCCAAAUGUCCAAGGUCUGAGAAGCUUACUUGGUCUCAAUUAAGUGGCCUGUCCUACUUACAGAUGCCAGGCCAUGGGGCUUGCCCACGAGUUGGCCUUGGUGUUUGGCGUCAUUGGUUCCCGUUGCUGAGACAGUGUUGUAUCUGAAGUUUGUCUCUCCCUGGUCCUGACUCCAACUCAGUUCACAAAGGAUUUUAUACCUAAAUGGAAUUGCCAAGUUCAGCGAUAAUACACAUCUUCCACACUGCCAACUCUCUCUCCAGAGUGGUUCAACAGCUGGUUGAGCUACCAGCGGCAUGAGAAUUCCUCAUAUUCCACUGCAAAACUUGGUUAUAGCAGCCUUGAAAAAUACAUC